This 236-nucleotide non-coding RNA is filed under the name Clostridium cadaveris. Its description in RNAcentral is "T-box sequence". It matches the Rfam family "T-box leader". Rfam says of the family: Uncharged tRNA acts as the effector for transcription antitermination of genes in the T-box leader family. The record is from RNAcentral. Lineage: Bacteria; Bacillati; Bacillota; Clostridia; Eubacteriales; Clostridiaceae.
GGAAAUACUAUGACAAAGGAAAGUAGGAUAAAGGAAGAUAACAGAGAGGAAGGGAUGGUGAAAGCCUUCUAUCUAGAAUUUAUUUGAAGUGCCCUUUUGAGUAGAAAGCCGAAAUUUUCAGUAGGCUUCUCCGGAUUGGCCCGUUACAGCCAUAUGACAUGAUAGUGUCAGAAUUUAAGUGGGAUUUUAUAUCCAAAUAGGGUGGAACCGCGGAGUACAUAAUCUUCGUCUCUAAU